Long non-coding RNA from Wasmannia auropunctata (little fire ant), 980 nucleotides. RefSeq lists it as uncharacterized. The record is from RefSeq and is a predicted model, not a curated record. The transcript has 2 exons. Lineage: Eukaryota; Metazoa; Arthropoda; Insecta; Hymenoptera; Formicidae.
GAUUUUUAAGAGUAUCUCGUCGGUGGUAUCUGCCAUUACAAUUUACCAACCAUAACGUAAGAAUAGAAAUACAGUAGAAAUAAAGCACGUCUUGCUAAUAUGAUAUUAUAAUGCAGAACCUACUAGUUUUCUAUAUUUCUAACAAUGUCACAGAAACAGUAGAUUGUGCUCGGCUGUUGCUACAUUUCUACUAAUAAUAUAUAUGCAACACACAUUUACAAUAUAUGCUUUUGAUAAAUCUGGGUUACUAUAUCACAUAUUCAAAUAAUAAGUAUAUAUCCUACAAAGAUAAAUUUUGAGCAGAACAUGCUACCAAUUUCUGAAGAUAGAAAGACAACAAAUUACACUCAAAAUCUAUAAUGUCUGUCAAUGUCGGCAAACUGCUGUCAGAAAUGUGACAAAAUCUGUUGACAUGCUAUACCGCAAUAGUAUCCGCCUGCACAGAUCUUGCUCGGUUUCUGUCGUCAGUUUGCUAAUUUAGCAUGUGAUCCUAAUGCAGACACAGAUUGCUAUCUACAAUAAGAAUCGAACCGAAUUGAUCUGCUGUCAAUCUGUCAAAAAAUCUGCUGGAAUAUUGCCAUCUGGGUAUAUCAGCAUUUUGCCUAUAGCAUUAAUCUGUUUUUAACAGACUUAGCUGUUUGAGAUAUCGAUCCAGCAAAAAUUUUGUGCACGAUGUUGCCAAAUGGAAAACAAAUUGCCAGAGAAUGAUAAUGCUAAAGCCAAGGUCUACUAUAUGUUAUUAGUUGAUUUCCAGUGUGCACCAAGUCUGAGGAACAUAUUUCGCAGUCAAAUUGAUGACAACAGAUCAGAUCUGAUAAUAGCAUACGACAACAGAUUGACAACUCCAGGACAGAUCUGUUUACUGCAAGAUACACACGUUGCAUAUUUACGAAUUGUUUGCAAUAGCAAAACUGCUUGGCAUUUGCCAUCAAUCUGCCACCAAUUCAAAUAAUCUAAAUAUAAGGAGUAUUUACAUGUUA